RNAcentral lists this long non-coding RNA (277 nucleotides) under Homo sapiens (human). RNAcentral describes it as "HSALNT0160022". Lineage: Eukaryota; Metazoa; Chordata; Mammalia; Primates; Hominidae. The record is from RNAcentral.
UUUCUCCACAAAGCAGGAAGCAGCACCACAAUUCACAUCUCCUGAGUUUGACACCAGAGAAUAUCUCAGACUUCUCACUAGAGCUGAGUUCAAAACGACUCAGGAACCACAUGUGAAGACUUGUCUUCAGAUUACCCAGUGAAACCACAGAAGAAAUGGAGAGGUCAGAGUUCCAACAAGCAGGAUCAUCAAGAAGAGAGGAUAUUUUCUCUGCUGGGUUCAUAAGAUAGUUUUGCAAUCCUACCAAGUAGGGAGGCUGGUGAAUUCAAAGAAGACA